This 910-nucleotide long non-coding RNA is filed under the name Coffea arabica (coffee). RNAcentral describes it as "long non-coding RNA (CARA_LNC007276)". Lineage: Eukaryota; Viridiplantae; Streptophyta; Magnoliopsida; Gentianales; Rubiaceae. The record is from RNAcentral.
UCUUUGACAAAGCAAAUAGAAGAGCAAUUGAUGUUGGUGGCAAAAUUAACUUUGCUAUGUGCGGAUCCCAAUCCUCAGUUGAGGCCUACGAUGAAACAAGUUUCUGUUCAUCUGCUGAAAAAAAGGCCGUCUCUAGCAAGCAUGUUUCCUGUCAUCACAAUUGCAGAACUUAUGGCUCUUGACUUGUCUGAUUUCUGAACUUCUUCUGUAUAUUACAGCAAUUUUAGUGUUCCCAUGAAUCCAUCUGUUUUUGACAUUUAUCAUUGUCAUCACCAAUAUGUAACUGCAAACUUUUCCAUCUCUAGCUAAUAUUGUCUACAGCUUUUGAAUGACAAUUAAUACUCUGGAUUAUGCAGUAACACCUGUUAUAUACCAUAUAUUACCAUAACCCACCAAUAAAAAAAAAAAAGUAUUUAAAACAAGAAACUAUUCCAGCGGCCAUUUGGCAUGGCAAGAAAAUAAUUCCAGAAAAAUAGAAAUGGCAGGAAGAAAAAGAUCAAAUUUCAUGACCACAAAAGACAUGCAAAUAAAUAUACCGUCCAUGAAGAGAAAAAGUCUAUGACUAUUCACUUAAGAUAAGCAUCAAAAAUUUAGAACAUACCCAAAAGUUGAAAUCAAAGGAAGCUUCUGCUCCACCAAUAUGAAAAGCCAGACUUGAUUCUAAACUGAGUUUCAACUAUGGACAGACUUAACUAUAGCUUUCAGUCAGAAUCUCUACAUUGAUGGAGAGUAAUAAGACCUAAAAAAUACGCAUCUAGGUUGCCGUAGCAGGACGGGAGAAGACUUGUCCCAGCUUACCAGUUUAUCUUUCUUCUGGAAUGCUAUUAGCAUUUAAUUAGUAGUCAAUGGGAAUGAGCCUUCUAGGUUUCGGCUACUUAUUUUUUGACUUAUUAAAGUUUCUUUGUCAUAG